Folsomia candida is the source of this 275-nucleotide long non-coding RNA. RefSeq lists it as uncharacterized. NCBI's taxonomy places the organism in Eukaryota, Metazoa, Arthropoda, Collembola, Entomobryomorpha, Isotomidae. The transcript is spliced from 3 exons. The record is from RefSeq and is a predicted model, not a curated record.
CGAAAUCCGAUCGGUGUAAAGGGCACAACUUUUUGAAAAGAAUAAGACCAGAAACAGCAACAACUUUCUUCCCGUCUGAGAUAAAAUGAAUAAGUCCAAGGUUGGCGUCAUCGUGGUCGUGGUCUUCGUCAUGUUGGCUGUCGUCGGUGAGAUUGCCGCUGUCCCGCAACCUGAACUGGGCGCAGUGGGUGAGGGUGCCGCUGAAGGUGUGAUGGCAGAACCUGCCGCUGUCAACUCCCGCUUCCGGCGGACAGCCGGCUGCUCAGGGGAUAAGG